This is a long non-coding RNA of Sander lucioperca (pikeperch), 1096 nucleotides long. RefSeq lists it as uncharacterized. The transcript is spliced from 3 exons. The record is from RefSeq and is a predicted model, not a curated record. Lineage: Eukaryota; Metazoa; Chordata; Actinopteri; Perciformes; Percidae.
UCCAAAUUGAGACCACAAGCCGACAUUUUUUGUUUGUUUUGAGUGUAGCGCUAUUUUUUAUUAUAGUCUUUGGUCUUCAAGUUGUUCUGUCAGAGCUUUGAGGUGUGAUUGGGGUCGUUAUCAUGCUGCAGUAUGAAUCCUUCUCCACAUAGACCAAACCAGAAGGUGUAGCACCUCUCUACAAUAGAGUGCUUCCUCGUGAUCAGGUGGAGUCAAAUCUCUGCAGGUGUUCAACUCCAGAGAAGACUAACAGCACCAGACUUUAUUAAUAUUAAUAUUUCCCAUAUUCCCCCUUCUGAGAAGGGGUUUGAACACUGAUGCUCAGCCUUUGCAUUUUAGAGUUCCAUGCAUAGGUGCUCCCUUUGAAAACAAUUUUCUAGUCAGCACUUUUACACUGAUCAGGAUUCUCUUUAUAAUAAUUGAACUUCUGACAUGUUAAUUAAGUGUAUGAUUCUUUCCAGGUUUAUGUGACAAUAUUAGAGAAUGAUCAAUGUAGUAUCUGACCUUUGGUCCUCACUGUGAACUUAAAUUACUGCACAUACAUUGUGUGUCAAGUUCGCACAGACAUGCUAACUAUCCAGGCAAGUGGCUGGAACAAGCGAAAGGCAGAAAACCCUUGACCGGACACUGGCCAAAAGAUACAUCAAGGUACUAACUAGGCAAAUAUGUAUAAUAACAUUUUUGUUUUUAAAUUGUGUCUCAGCAUUUGUUAACACAGAUAUUUCUUUCGGACAAGGAUUACAGAGGCAACAAAGGACCUGGAGAAACUCACCGCUGAGUUAUCUCUACAGCAAGACACAGUCCAGCAGUGGGUGUCUGAUGUUCAGCAGUGGACCUCAGGAGCAACAAUCCAAAAUGGCCUGCAGAGGACCAUCGAGGGGCUAUAUUUGGGCAUCAAACAGCGAAAAUUUCAGCUGUAUCGUCAGUCUGGUGGGAAUAAGCGAAGGCAUCAACUGAGAAGAAAGAUUGCUGUUGAGAAGAAAGCUUGGAAGUUACAAUCAAUGACCACAAUGCUACUGUGGGGGAUGUUGAAAAACUGCCUCCUCCCAAUGAACUCCUGGCUGUGGACAACUCCUCCUUCCUCUGAAAUGCACUG